UUUGAUAUUCAGGUUUAUCCGCA
Molecule: non-coding RNA, 23 nt
Filed under: Arabidopsis thaliana (thale cress)
Lineage: Eukaryota; Viridiplantae; Streptophyta; Magnoliopsida; Brassicales; Brassicaceae
Source: RNAcentral